UAGAAGUUAAUUAAUUUAUAAUAUAUAUUUGUCAUAUAUAAAUUGUCUUACAGACACUUCUCA
This 63-nucleotide transfer RNA is filed under the name Chinapotamon maolanense. RNAcentral describes it as "tRNA-Asp". The record is from RNAcentral. Lineage: Eukaryota; Metazoa; Arthropoda; Malacostraca; Decapoda; Potamidae.